UGCCGCGUGCAGGAUGACGGUCCUAUGGAUUGUAAACUGCUUUUGUACGGGAAGAAACAGUUCUACGUGUAGAACCUUGACGGUACCGUAAGAAUAAGGAUCGGCUAACUCCGUGCCAGCAGCCGCGGUAAUACGGAGGAUCCAAGCGUUAUCCGGAAUCAUUGGGUUAAAGGGUCCGUAGGCGGUUUGGUAAGUCAGUGGUGAAAGCCCAUCGCUCAACGGUGGAACGGCCAUUGAUACUGCCAGACUUGAAUUAUUAGGAAGUAACUAGAAUAUGUAGUGUAGCGGUGAAAUGCUUAGAGAUUACAUGGAAUACCAAUUGCGAAGGCAGGUUACUACUAAUGGAUUGACGCUGAUGGACGAAAGCGUGGGUAGCGAACAGGAUUAGAUACCCUGGUAGUCCACGCCGUAAACGAUGGAUACUAGCUGUUGGGAGCGAUCUCAGUGGCUAAGCGAAAGUGAUAAGUAUCCCACCUGGGGAGUACGUUCGCAAGAAUG
This 498-nucleotide ribosomal RNA is filed under the name uncultured Bacteroidota bacterium. Its description in RNAcentral is "bacterial SSU rRNA". It matches the Rfam family "Bacterial small subunit ribosomal RNA", at positions 395 to 896 of the family's 1533-position model. Lineage: Bacteria; Pseudomonadati; Bacteroidota. The record is from RNAcentral.